This is a long non-coding RNA of Lolium rigidum, 4363 nucleotides long. RefSeq lists it as uncharacterized. The transcript has 3 exons. The record is from RefSeq and is a predicted model, not a curated record. NCBI's taxonomy places the organism in Eukaryota, Viridiplantae, Streptophyta, Magnoliopsida, Poales, Poaceae.
AGACCGGCCACCAUGUCCAGCGCCGCUGUCUCCUCUUUCUCCGUUUCCCCGUUGCGACGGUGCUCGGCCACCAUCUGGCCUCCCUGGUGUGGUGGUUUGGUGCUGCUGCCCGUCGCCUCCCGCUUGUCCUUUUCUUCCCCAAUUUCUCGCCUCUCCCUUGCACGGUGGCACUCCAUCCUCUCUCCCCAAACCUUCCGGUAGCACACAAUCUGGACGGACGGCUCCCCCACCAAAUCCUCGCUCCCACCCCCGCGGAGGCCGCCCCCUCUUCUCCCUCCUUUGACCGCCGGGGUACCUACCGAUGUAGUCGCGCGGCAGACCCUCCUUUUCCUCCCGAUGCGGUUGGUGGCGCGGAGGAGGACCUGGGCGGCCUCUUUUCCCUCCCAAGGCGGCACGGAUUUGGGACGAGCCAACGCGGCCGGUGAUCCAUCAGGAGCACCUGAGCGGCCUCUUCUCCCUCCCAAGGCGGACAGGCGGCGCUGCUUGGGCGACGAUGUAGAGGCGGCCGGGAACGGCGGCCGGGGCUUGACCGAAAAGCUUCUGGUGAGGUGCAGCAUGUGUGGUCGCCUUGACAGCCGGGAGCAUACGAGAGUACUAGCGCCAGUGGAGAACAUCAGGGGAGGAGCGGCGGAUUUAGGUGGAGCAGGCCGGGAAGAGCUGCUGGCGAGGUGCGGCCGAUGUGGUCGCGGUUGUCCGUGUCGAGCUGCGGCCGCCGCGGGAGCAGAGGGGAGUACUGGCACCGGAGAGUAGCAACAGUGGAGGAGCGACGCCGAUGAGGCGGCUGCGAUUAGAGGCGGAGCACGCUCUGCAUCGGCAACUGAUGGAACUGCGAUGCCGCGGGGAUUGGGGACUCGAAGUGCGACAUGGAUAUCGCAAGUAUUGAGGACUCGAAGUGCGACAUGUAGCGGCGGUCGUCGGGGUGGCCGGGACAAAUUCUUCCUCGCCCAGGCUCUCCCUGACCGAGCUCCUCGGCGUCCGGUGGCUGUAACGUGGUGGGUCAGUUUCUGUUCUGGUGUCGCGGCCGUCACCGAGGUGUGGGCCUCUUGACGACCAGCAGUGUUGCCUGCUCCGCAUCUUGGAGUGCGGCGUUGCUGGAAGCCUCCCCGCCGCCACCUGGAAGACGACCAGGGCGUUUAUACACUUUUUAUGAACAGAUUGAAAAUUAUAUCAGGAUUUUGAUUUUGUUUUGGUUACUGCUCUACAGGAGUUUCGAAACUGGUUGAAUCCUUGGGCGAUGGAGGCCGUGCGAUGCACAUGGCCACACUUGAGAUCAGGUUGCUAGCCGCAGAUGGCCGAGGAGGCAGAUAGGGAGUUAGCAAGUAGCAGGAAGAACCAUGACAAGCUGCAGGGCGGAGCCCUUCCUGAUGAAGGUUUUUGAUGCACUAGCGUUAUGAAGUUCUGAAUUUUGGUUUGGCGUGCUUUCUUCAAUGGUACUCUGUAGUAAGUAGAGUAGCAUGUUAGAACAGAAAAACUACAUCAAUUAUUACUUCUUCAAUGCAUUGCAUUUUCUUUUCUUAAUCGUAUAUGCUUUUUAAUAUUCUGACUCUUACCAAUAUAUGGUUUAGGGUUUUAGAUUGCAACAUGGUGAAGGAGCAUACGUGGAUCACCCGAUUCACCUACAUAUGGCUUUAGUAGGCAACCAUUUAAUAUCUGUGGUAACAUAGCUUUUUAUAUAGAUUUUUGUAUUAAUGGGGUUUAGGUAGACUUUUUUCAUAGAAGGGUAAACUGAAAUCUUAACAUCUUUUAACAUAUGUGGUAGCAUAGCCUUUUUUUGUCUAGAUUUGUAGAAUGAUAUAACUGAAAUCUAAGCUGAUCAUAUGUAUUCAAAGGCCAGUAAAGAGUAUUCUGCACCGUCUUUUUCGUUUAUCUUGAAUUUUCGUCUUGCUCUGAAAUACGCGAAAAUCUAUUCAUAAAGUAUUUUAUCUUCUUGGUCAUGUCAUCAUGUGUAGUAAUAUUUACAUUUGGGUGCAAGGAAGUAUUAUCAGUGUUUACCAUCUGUUUUUGGCCUCAUUGACGCUACUCAAUACUGACCAGGCUAAUUAAAUAGACAAGCACAAAUAUCAUUAACCUCAAUGUUACUCUAUGAAAUAAAACUUAAUAUUGUAACCCAGCUUCUGAAUUGUCCAUCUGUACUGUUGUGGUGCCUUCUAGCGUUAGAUGUGUGAUUUAAUCUGCUCAUAUUUCUAACAUAGUUUUUUUUCAUGUCGCGAAAUUCUCAAGUCCGGUAUCUAAGCAACAGAGGGUGUAAUGACCAUUCUCGUGAGAUGGUCGAACUUCUUAUUAACACUUUCAUGGUAGGCUACACCAGAAGAACCCAUUGUAGAACUACUGUUCUCUAGAAAUUUCCUUUUCUAUAAAAUAUUGAUUCUGUAUCAGUGAUAAUAGAAGGAAUUCAUUCAUAUCACGUGUAAUCUAUUAUUUUUUGUGUCUUAUAAUUUUAAGAGUAGUUUGUGUGGAUUAGGUAUCGUUUAAUUGUUUUAAUACUGGUGUUCCUUUUGACAUCCAAGUAUUUUGUGACAUCUCUCCAAAUCAACUUGCUACUGGACAAUCUUAUUGAUCUCAGCUUACAGUAUUUUUCAAGGCUGUUCAAUUCUGUACUGAGACUAUUGCAGAAACCAGUUCCGCUAUAUAGUAUAAUCCUUGCCAUUUUUUGUUUUACAUUCUUCACUGUUUAUUUUUUCAUGAUUAUUAUUACUCUAAUACCAACUCGAGUGCCUUCAUACAAUUGAGCUGAAUGUGACUAAUAACUUAUGGAUUCAGCCUGACGCCUCUUUGUUUUGUCCAUCAAGUCCACCUACCUGAAGGUAGCCCUUCUCUACCACAUACCACAGGUGCAUUAGUAGAUGUGUUUGAUAUAGAAAACCCUAUUUGUUCACAAUCUGAAGAAAUGCUCGCAUGGGCUAAUCUCUUUUUUCAACUAAAGCUUCUGGGUCAUAAUAUAUAUGUAUUUGUCUACUAUGGUGUUCUUGGAGAUACAGUCUGAGGUCCAAAGAUGCAAGCUGGCCAUUUUUGUUAGAAACCUGGUCAGAUGAUACAUUGACAUGCCUUGCCGAUAACAAGUGUUGUUUACAGGAUGUUGUAAGAAAAAGAAUGGCAUCUCCAAAUAAUACUAAAUAACUCACAGUAGAGAUGAAAGAUCUUCGUAAGGUUCAUCAUGUCAGUCUGGUAUGCCAUUUUACAGUUCUCAUAGGAUACCUAAUCUAGAUUAUAUCUCAAAACUCCUGUUGUUUCUUAUUUAUUUGGUGACCAGUGUUUUGUUAAAUGUGUGUGUAGUUUUAUUUUUUGCGGAAACAAAAUGUGUGUGUAGUUGAUUGGCUAUGCAGGAAGGAUGACUUGUUCCUGUUUUAUGGGUACUCCGAAAAGUUACAUCUAAAAACCAUCUUCAUGAUCCUCAAAGCAAAAGUGUUCUAUGGCCAAGAAUUCGCUCCUUUGUAUCAGUAUCUUGAUGGUGUUUUUUUUUCUGUUUUGAGGAAGAGAGAACUUCAUUUCAUAUGAUAUGAAAAUUCUUGAAAUCAUCUGGUACAAAAGACUGACACUGUUUCUUUGUACAGGAGCUUGGUGUAACCAGGAACUAACCAAACUAUUGAUUGUUGCAUAAAGAGCUACCACAUGUGCGACACGAAUUAACUCUCUCUUCACCUUGGUGACCUUCAGACUGGACAACGGCUGCACAAUCACUCUCAAAAUUAAAUGGGCCAUGGCACCAGGAGCAGCAAGGUCGAGGCCCUCCCUGAGAGCAUUCAGUUCAGCUUUCCUAGCAUUCAGGCAAUUAGCAAAGCAACAUCGCCUGAGGUGUAGAGUCAGUUCGGGUCAUAGAGAGGCCAGCAGGAGAUCUUCUCAGCUUUGUGGAGGUAGCCCACAUAGGGGCAUCAUUGAGCAGGCUAGCGGCGACCACCAUUGCUCAAAUGCUCCUUCCAGGGAUGCUCAGCAUCCUCCCAACAGAAUAACAAAUCCACAACUCCAACAAUGAGGAGUGAAGAAGAAAAUCAAUACACUGAUGCUCCCUUCGGCGAUGAAGCAGACUCCACACCCUCCAUCGAUUUCUUCAGCAAAGGCCUACAACUCAUCAUACUUUCCUCCGUCCAUGGGGACAAUGCCGCCGAGCACUGAUGAGUCAAACACCAAGCAACAUCAGCACUACCAGUCAUACCAUCCUACUAUGCAAUUUCCUCCAGACAUGUAUCACCAAAAACAUGUUGUGCUUUAGGUGAAGUAGAACCUGAUGUCUUCUACAUAUCACACAUGUAAGAUGAUGCCAUUAACUAUGUAGUAAGAUGUAAUUAUGUCUUAGUGCUUAUCCAAGGCAAUCCCAUGAACUAUGUAAUUAAGUCUAAUUAUAUAUCACCGCUACUGUCCAUCAUUG